GUUCCUCACUCUUGCCUUCAUAACAUAUGGUUUAUCAACUAGAUACCUUCUCAGGUGCUGGCAUCAUUCGGAUAUAUAUCAAUUAUUCAAAAAAAAUUCGAUCUAUUAAACAAACUGGACUGAGAUGAGAACAAGCAAACUUCCAGUCAUCAUGCAUCAAUUCUGAAAAAAAUUGUUUGGUUAAAUCAAAUAAACUGAUAGGUAAGCAACUUCCAAUCCGAAAUGGCAAACAAUAAUUUAAACAAUUUGAUCGCAUUUUGAGAAGGGGCAGGGCAAUUUGCCGGAUAUGAACUCACCCCACGUUCCAGGGUAGGUCGCCUGACAGAUAAAAAAUGGUCUGGAUGAAGCACGUACUCCACAACUUACCACGUGUCCGUCUCAUAAUUCAGUAGGGUCGCCAUCGCAGAGUUCCUUUAGUUGGCUUUUUGUUUAAGCACGCAAAUUUGGGAAGUUCCGACGACACUGGGGACCUUCCCACCAUUGAAAAAGCUACAAGCCCACCAAAUCUCCGUAGGUCUUCGACGCUGGCCCGGCCAAUAUCCUAUUAUCUCUCUCUUGCUCACGCGCCUUGGAAUCUUCUCCUAUCUCUCGUGACGACCCUGGUAGUGGCUUUCGAUUCCGAUGUACGCCGGGAGAUGAGUGGGACCCAUGCAGAAAAAUCCCGUCGAGGGCCCCACCUUCGACAAGUAGGUCGCCAUCUGACAGAUAAAAAACGGAGGGCGAAGCACGUACUCCACCCGUUAUCAUGUGUCCGCCUCAAAAAAUUUAGUACGGUCGCU
Molecule: long non-coding RNA, 779 nt
Filed under: Elaeis guineensis (African oil palm)
Lineage: Eukaryota; Viridiplantae; Streptophyta; Magnoliopsida; Arecales; Arecaceae
Description: long non-coding RNA (EGUI_LNC080059)
Source: RNAcentral